Molecule: long non-coding RNA, 771 nt
Filed under: Struthio camelus australis
Lineage: Eukaryota; Metazoa; Chordata; Aves; Struthioniformes; Struthionidae
Description: lncRNA (ENSSCUG00000006374.1)
Source: RNAcentral
UCUGGACGGCUUACUGCUGCCACAGAUGGGCCUGUGCAGAGGGUGCAUGUCUCUGAGGAGCGCGGAGGUGUGACUGCCCUGGCUUCACUGUCCUGGUAGGGACAUCUACCACAGCUUGUUCUGCUGUCUGCAUGCUUUGCCAGCCAUCCAGGUCCUGGAUGUCUCAGCUGAGAGUGUAAACUCCUAGUUUUUGACAUAUUUUGGUAUGAAACAAUCAUGGAACCUAAAAUCUGAAGAGAUGUGGAUGAUAUUAUUUUCUUCAGUCUACAGCUUGAGAAGUUAUAUCCCCAAAGAACCGCUUGGAAAGAGCCAGUUUCAGAUAUCACAGAAUCAUAGAAUCACAGAAUGGUUGAGGUUGGAAGGGACCUCUGGAGAUCAUCUAGUCCAACCUCCCUGUUCAAGCAGGGACCUCUAGAGCAUAUUGCCCAGGAACACAUCCAGACGGGUUUUGAAUAUCUCCAGGGAAGGAGACUCCACCACCUCUCUGGGCAACCUGUUCCAGUGCUCUGUCACCCUCACAGUGAAGAAGUUUUUUCUCAGGUUUAGGUGGAACUUCCUGUGGUUCAGUUUGUGCCCGUUGCCUCUUGUCCUGUCACUGGGCACCACGGAGAAGAGACUGGCCUCAUCCUCUUGGCACCUCCCCUUCAGAUGCUUGUAAAUAUUGAUGACAGCGCCUCUCAGUCUUCUCUUCUCCAGGCUGAACAGGCCCAGCUCCCUCAGCCUUUCUUCAUAGGAGAGGUGCUCCAGUCCUCUAAUCAUCUCUGUAGCCCU